GAAGUCAGACCGUAAGGACUGGUGGAGCGCUUAGAAGUGAGAAUGCCGGUAUGAGUAGCGAAAGACAAGUGAGAAUCUUGUCCACCGAAUGCCUAAGGUUUCCUGAGGAAGGCUCGUCCGCUCAGGGUUAGUCGGGACCUAAGCCGAGGCUGAAAAGCGUAGGCGAUGGCCAACAGGUUGAUAUUCCUGUACCACCUCCCCGCCGUUUGAGUAAUGGGGGGACGCAGUAGGAUAGGGUAAGCGCGCUGCUGGAUAUGCGCGUUCAAGCAGUUAGGCUGAUGAGUAGGCAAAUCCGCUCAUCAUAAAGGCUGAGCUGUGAUGACGAGGGAAUUAUAGUACCGAAGUUCCUGAUUCCACACUGCCAAGAAAAGCCUCUAGCGAGGCGGGAGGUGCCCGUACCGCAAACCGACACAGGUAGGCGAGGAGAGAAUCCUAAGGUGAUCGAGAGAACUCUCGUUAAGGAACUCGGCAAAAUGACCCCGUAACUUCGGGAGAAGGGGUGCUCUGGUAGGGUGUAUAGCCCGAGAGAGCCGCAGUGAAUAGGCCCAGGCGACUGUUUAGCAAAAACACAGGUCUCUGCGAAGCCGCAAGGCGAAGUAUAGGGGCUGACGCCUGCCCGGUGCUGGAAGGUUAAGAGGAGGGGUUAUCCUUUGGGAGAAGCUCUGAAUCGAAGCCCCAGUAAACGGCGGCCGUAACUAUAACGGUCCUAAGGUAGCGAAAUUCCUUGUCGGGUAAGUUCCGACCCGCACGAAAGGCGUAACGAUCUGGGCACUGUCUCAACGAGAGACUCGGUGAAAUUAUAGUACCUGUGAAGAUGCAGGUUACCCGCGACAGGACGGAAAGACCCCGUGGAGCUUUACUGUAGCCUGAUAUUGAAUUUUGGUACAGCUUGUACAGGAUAGGUAGGAGCCUGAGAAGCCGGAGCGCUAGCUUCGGUGGAGGCGUCGGUGGGAUACUACCCUGGCUGUAUUGAAAUUCUAACCCGCGGCCCUGAUCGGGCCGGGAGACAGUGUCAGGUGGGCAGUUUGACUGGGGCGGUCGCCUCCUAAAAUGUAACGGAGGCGCCCAAAGGUUCCCUCAGAAUGGUUGGAAAUCAUUCGUAGAGUGUAAAGGCACAAGGGAGCUUGACUGCGAGACCUACAAGUCGAGCAGGGACGAAAGUCGGGCUUAGUGAUCCGGUGGUUCCGCAUGGAAGGGCCAUCGCUCAACGGAUAAAAGCUACCCCGGGGAUAACAGGCUUAUCUCCCCCAAGAGUCCACAUCGACGGGGAGGUUUGGCACCUCGAUGUCGGCUCAUCGCAUCCUGGGGCUGUAGUCGGUCCCAAGGGUUGGGCUGUUCGCCCAUUAAAGCGGUACGCGAGCUGGGUUCAGAACGUCGUGAGACAGUUCGGUCCCUAUCCGUCGUGGGCGUAGGAAAUUUGAGAGGAGCUGUCCUUAGUACGAGAGGACCGGGAUGGACACACCGCUGGUGUACCAGUUGUCUUGCCAAAGGCAUCGCUGGGUAGCUAUGUGUGGACGGGAUAAGUGCUGAAAGCAUCUAAGCAUGAAGCCCCCCUCAAGAUGAGAUUUCCCAUAGCGCAAGCUAGUAAGAUCCCUGAAAGAUGAUCAGGUUGAUAGGUCAGAGGUGGAAGCGUGGCGACAUGUGUAGCUGACUGAUACUAAUCGAUCGAGGACUUAACCAA
RNAcentral lists this ribosomal RNA (1681 nucleotides) under Priestia megaterium. Its description in RNAcentral is "partial 23S ribosomal RNA". It matches the Rfam family "Bacterial large subunit ribosomal RNA", at positions 1252 to 2925 of the family's 2925-position model. The record is from RNAcentral. Lineage: Bacteria; Bacillati; Bacillota; Bacilli; Caryophanales; Bacillaceae. RNAcentral also lists the same sequence under 15 other names.